UUCACAAAUGAGACUAUGAAGUCUAUUUUCGUAAAGUUAAAGAAAGUUAAUAGGAAUUUUCUUUCCUUUUUUUCCCCUUAGGAAAAAAAAAUCUCCUCUACUCUUAUUUUACAUUCAAGUCAACAUUUUCAGUGAGAUGGGGAGCCAAACAAAAUGAGAUAGGACUAAUGUUGAGGCAAGAAGAUUACUUGGAGUUAAAGGCCAAGUUGACCUAUAUAGUGGACACUAGAUCAUCCAGAGCCACACAUCAAGACUCUGAAUUAAAAAAAAAUAAAAAGCUCCUCUUCCAUGACAAUCUACCAAUCACAGGAGGGAGGCAAGACUUAAGGAAGAGCAAGUCAUUUAAAGAUUGUCGUUAUGUCUUCACUUCAAUGUUGUAGAGCAAAACAUCCUAGGAAAUCUACUUAAAAGAAGAAAGAUUUUGGUUCACAGUUUCAGAAGUCUGGAGCACAGUUGAUUUCAUUGCUUUUGGGCUUGGUCAGCAAAAACAGCAGGGUAAAAAGGCAUGGUGAGGAUGUGAACCCUCAGCUUCUCUUCCAGCAGCCAUGGCUCCCGUCUGUUGCCUUUGCUCUGCCAUCAUGGACUCUAACCCUCUGGGAUUGUACACACAAACUCCUAAUAAACUCUUGCUUCUAUGAA
Peromyscus maniculatus bairdii (prairie deer mouse) is the source of this 639-nucleotide non-coding RNA. Lineage: Eukaryota; Metazoa; Chordata; Mammalia; Rodentia; Cricetidae. The record is from RefSeq and is a predicted model, not a curated record.